RNAcentral lists this ribosomal RNA (682 nucleotides) under Salmonella enterica subsp. enterica serovar Kentucky. RNAcentral's name for it is "bacterial SSU rRNA". It matches the Rfam family "Bacterial small subunit ribosomal RNA", at positions 1 to 670 of the family's 1533-position model. The record is from RNAcentral. Lineage: Bacteria; Pseudomonadati; Pseudomonadota; Gammaproteobacteria; Enterobacterales; Enterobacteriaceae.
ACUUAAAUUGAAGAGUUUGAUCAUGGCUCAGAUUGAACGCUGGCGGCAGGCCUAACACAUGCAAGUCGAACGGUAGCACAGAGAGCUUGCUCUCGGGUGACGAGUGGCGGACGGGUGAGUAAUGUCUGGGAAACUGCCCGAUGGAGGGGGAUAACUACUGGAAACGGUAGCUAAUACCGCAUAACGUCGCAAGACCAAAGAGGGGGACCUUCGGGCCUCUUGCCAUCAGAUGUGCCCAGAUGGGAUUAGCUUGUUGGUGAGGUAACGGCUCACCAAGGCGACGAUCCCUAGCUGGUCUGAGAGGAUGACCAGCCACACUGGAACUGAGACACGGUCCAGACUCCUACGGGAGGCAGCAGUGGGGAAUAUUGCACAAUGGGCGCAAGCCUGAUGCAGCCAUGCCGCGUGUAUGAAGAAGGCCUUCGGGUUGUAAAGUACUUUCAGCGAGGAGGAAGGCGUUGUGGUUAAUAACCACAGCGAUUGACGUUACUCGCAGAAGAAGCACCGGCUAACUCCGUGCCAGCAGCCGCGGUAAUACGGAGGGUGCAAGCGUUAAUCGGAAUUACUGGGCGUAAAGCGCACGCAGGCGGUUUGUUAAGUCAGAUGUGAAAUCCCCGGGCUCAACCUGGGAACUGCAUUUGAAACUGGCAAGCUUGAGUCUCGUAGAGGGGGGUAGAAUUCC